Molecule: ribosomal RNA, 626 nt
Filed under: uncultured bacterium
Lineage: Bacteria
Description: bacterial SSU rRNA
Rfam family: Bacterial small subunit ribosomal RNA
Source: RNAcentral
GAGUGGCGGACGGGUGAGUAUCGCGUAGGGAUCUAUCCAUGGGUGGGGGAUAACAUCGGGAAGCUGGUGCUAAUACCGCAUGAUACCUGAGGGUCAAAGGCGCAAGUCGCCUGUGGAGGAGCCCGCGUUCGAUUAGCUUGUUGGUGGGGUAAAGGCCUACCAAGGCGAUGAUCGAUAGCUGGUCUGAGAGGAUGAUCAGCCACACUGGGACUGAGACACGGCCCAGACUCCUACGGGAGGCAGCAGUGGGGAAUAUUGGACAAUGGGCGAAAGCCUGAUCCAGCAAUGCCGCGUGUGUGAAGAAGGUCUUCGGAUUGUAAAGCACUUUCGACGGGGACGAUGAUGACGGUACCCGUAGAAGAAGCCCCGGCUAACUUCGUGCCAGCAGCCGCGGUAAUACGAAGGGGGCUAGCGUUGCUCGGAAUGACUGGGCGUAAAGGGCGCGUAGGCGGUUUACACAGUCAGAUGUGAAAUUCCAGGGCUUAACCUUGGGGCUGCAUUUGAUACGUGUAGACUAGAGUGUGAGAGAGGGUUGUGGAAUUCCCAGUGUAGAGGUGAAAUUCGUAGAUAUUGGGAAGAACACCGGUGGCGAAGGCGGCAACCUGGCUCAUUACUGACGCUGAGGC